Molecule: long non-coding RNA, 5517 nt
Organism: Coturnix japonica (Japanese quail)
Lineage: Eukaryota; Metazoa; Chordata; Aves; Galliformes; Phasianidae
Source: RefSeq, a predicted model, not a curated record
CAUGUAUAUGGAGUGCGUAGAGCUCUGCUUCCCAAUUAAAUCAAGUUGUUAUUUUAAAUAUAAUUAAUCUGUGUUAGUAAUGAAAAUACACCAACAGAAUGCAAGCUAAGUGCUUAACAAAAUCUUACGGACUCUUCCAGCCCAUAUAGGAAACAAAACAUCUGUAUGUAAAUAUUACUCUUGAUGAGUUAGGCUGUUUCCUGAAUCCGGUAAUGUAGUCUGUACCUAGUACUGACACAGAAGAAAUCAGCGGAAAUCACUGUGCUCAAAAGUAAUGUAACACUUAGGCAAUAAGGUUCUCUUAAAAACAAACCUUUAAGACACAGUGUAGAACUUGCACUGAGAUAGGACAGUCCUGGGCAAUCACUUAAAUCAAGCAUAGCUCAUACCGUCUGAUGAAAGCAGUAGGAUAUAUGUCCUGCAUCUUCUGCACACAGAUUCCUAUGUAUCAAGGCCUUGACUGAUGCUCUUUCUGGAGAUUAGUCUUCAGCAAUCUAAGUUCAAAAGCCUGAUAGCUCCUUCAAUCUCCCUUUUCAUUUUGCUCUUGUAUCUGUGUUAUCUCACAUCUACCUGCAAUUGCAAAGGCGGUCUUUUUUCUUCUGCAUAUUCUUUUGAGGUUUAAAUUGUUGGUGCAGGAAAUGGGAACACAGAAGAGAGAAGUUUUGCUACAUACAGACUUCCAAAAUGAAUUCAGUUUUACAGUUAGUUAAAAAUUAUCUGCAUAUGGAGGUGUCCAGUGCUUUUACCUGCACAGAUCUUCAAGGAAACUGGUACUUGUUUUGUUCAUAGCCUUACUUGUGCUGAAAUAUACGGGGUUAGGGUUGUGCAAGUUGGGAAGAAAAAAGAAAGCCUGGGUUACUUAGCCUUUUUUAUGCCUUUCUAAUGCCCAGUACUGUUAUAGUCAUUCUGCUCCCCGCAUCACUUAUCAUUGAUUUCUCAUGUUAGAAGUGUGCUUUGCUCAGCAGCUGAAGGUUUAUUCCUGAGUAUUUUUAACCUUCUGCCAGAUGGUUUCUGCUAAAUUCUGGAAAACAGACAAACAAACAAAAACCUGCGUAGAGGUUUAACCUUAAAUACGAGCCUUCUCAAUUUAUCCCCAAGCUAAGCAUAGGUCAGUGGCAUACAUUUCUGCAGUCUUGACAAAUCCAGUAGGUGAUUCCUUAAACAAACACAAACCCAAGCAGAGGCAAUAUUUGCACAGAUAGCUAUCAAGUCAAAAUAAGCUCUGUUUUCAUUACAGAACACAGUGCAAGAUGCACAUCCAGCCUCCGAACAGAAACACAUUUCUUCUGGUAUUUCAGCCCUAGAUCAUAUUGAAGGAUGCCUGUGCCCACAUAAAAAAAGUUGAAAAGCUAUGUGUAAUGAGAAGCAGGAUAUUCUCUCGUUCAUCACUGUUAGGGAGCUGCAUGCCUUCUAAUGUUCAAGCUGGAUCAUAUAGCUCUGUAGCUACACAAUAAGUAAGUAAACAUUGAAUCGCCCCUCUUCCUGUCCCUGCUUCUUCCUCCCUGACCCUCAGAGGAACUGUGGAAAUAUUGUAAGAGAGGGAAAAAAGACAGCUUACAUUUGCUAGAAUUUAGCUUCUGGCAAGCGACAUUAUAAGGAAUUCAUUUCCUGGCACAUAAUUUACGUGUCCAGUCCUCCCACCCACUCUUUUUUUUUCUCCCACCCUACCCCCACAUCCCUCCCCCAAGCUGCCUGCUCUGCAGUGUUCCCGCAGCUUCCUGCCUCAUGUUUGCUUUCUAUUUUCAUAUCCAUGGGAAAGGAAUCUGCUUCAGCAGGGGCUGCUGUCCUGCCUGCACCAGCCAGCCGGGUCUGCCACCUUUAGCUGAGGCCACAGAUGCAGUUUAGGUUCCUGUAUGUUGUAUGAAUGAGAAAAUCUUGAUCUAUCAGUCAUGCUUUGGACAUCAGUUACUGCUGUGUCUUCAAAGAUAAGGCAUCUACACACAGACAAGGCUUCUUCAAAGAGCUUGAAUGUCUACAACAUGCUGCUUGGACUCUGGAAUCAAGUCCUUCCUUCAAGAGAAUUUUUUGCAGGAAGUUCAGAAGUGUUUGAACAGUAUCUGAAUGCUUGCUGAGAGCUUACCUAAAGGAAAGAAACUGGCAACUGAACUCCUGGAAAAAGCUGUCUUAGAGUCUUUGGAGGUUUAUUGUCCUGAUGGACUAUAUAUUGUCUUGAGCACUAUAACUUAGAACUUAGUUGUCUCUAAAUUUCUCAUCAUUUUUAACACAGCUGACCUUUAGACAAGGAAAUACAUUCACAUCUCACCUCUUCAUAGUUAUUUCCCUGGAAGGUGACCCUAAUCCAUAUUUUAGGUUCUUAUUUAUAUCCAUUGCAGGCAUUGCUUUGUGGUGAAACACUGAGUUCUGCAAGGCCCACCUAUUAGUGUGCCAAAAGGAACACCCAUACCCAAUACAUGAGGAAAACCAACUUUUGCUAAUUGCUUUGGUCUGCUUAUGAUAUUCUAAAGCUGUCUGCCAUGCCCAGGAAAAAUGAUUUGUUCUUGGAAAUAUUAGAACUCUUUCCAAGAUAUUUCACUCUCCUUUUCAGAAACCAGCAGGACAAAUCAUAUUGUGUUGGAUAAUAUACUUACUAGAAAGAUUUUAGUGCUUGUAUAAUUUGUUUCUGUCCUAUUUUGAGCAACAUAGCAGCAUCUGUAAUACAUUCUCCUUCUUCAGUCCCUCUUGUAAAGAUGGGGUAGAUUCUUCAGAGGUAGCUGGUUUAAUUGGGAAUAGUACCGACUUACUGGCACUAUGAAUGCAUAUAAUUCAUUAUUCAGUGUCCUGGAAAGUCAUUCUUGUACACUUACUCAUAUUUUUCUGGUUUUAAACCAUCUCAUCACUUCUAUAUAAGGCAAAAUCAGGUCUUGACACACUUCUCAAAAUUGUGACAUAUCUUUGGGAGACUGUUUUCUAACUGCAAGUUUCUGUUCUUACUAAGUUUCCCUAGAAAUUUUAGGUUUAUCGUCUUCUGUUUUUUUGUUUUUUUGUUUGGUUUUUUUGUUUGUUUGUUUGUUUUUGUUUGUUUGUUUUUUCCAGAAACUCAAGGGAAUCCAUAGCCAUAGGAAUAUAUUAAUGAAUUGGGACUGCUUUCUCAUGGGAAUUUACUUUAUCAAUUUGGUUAGUUUCUGAAGAAAAUAAACCACCACCAACAGAAAACGAACACACUUGUUUUUAGGUUGGAAGCUAAAAAUCAGACACAACUAUAUAGGAGAAAUGAUGGAAAGGGCUGACAAAAUGGGACAUGAUAGAAGGGAACAGCUAGGCUUUCUUUCUGUCUUUAGUGAAAUGUUAGUCCCUAUUUUACCCCAAUACUACAACUCUUGUUUUCACAAGGAACUACAUUUCUGUGUUCCUUGAUGGCAGAAAUAAAACCCAGUGAUCUGAGAUGUUUUUCUGAAAAAAAGACAAAAAGUAGAAAUUUUCUUUGACGAAGUGUCCUUCUAAAGACCUAUAGAUAACUGGAUAUUGUAAACAACCUAAUAUUUCUUGCAUUGUGUGCUGGCUAGUUUCUAAAAUAUCGAGGGAGUUGAUAUAACACUACAGUGUCUAGGCACUUGUGUUUAUUCUCAGCUUUUGGAGAAGAAGCAGAUAGAUUUGUCUCUAGUCCAUAGCUUUUAUAGGUUUCCAUAGUAGUAAUAUGUUUUUGUUUGGAUUAAUUGCACACAUUUAAUAGAAAAACAUAUCUAUUUUGAAUGCAAUUUAUAUUUAAAAAUUAUACUUUAAUACUUACUGGUUUAUGAUAAAGUUAAAUGUUGAAGUAUAGAGAAACAUAAGAAUAGGUUUCAAAAUUGUAGCUGCAACAUGGGUUUGUCAAGAUUAUAAACAAAGAGUAAAUGCAGUGUGCUUUGCUGGCUCUUCUGUCAUUGUGGAAAUACAGAGAAGCAUCUUGUGGCUGAUGUAACUCCCACAUAUAAGUAAAGAAUUCUCUAGUAAUUAUUUUCUGUCAGUGGAUUGAUAAUGAUUUGAUCUUCAUGCAGCCUGGGUAUGUUGUUACCUUCCCGGGCAGUAAGUUGUUAGCCUUCUGAGGUGUGUCAAAUGGAGCAGCUGACACCACCUAGGGUUAUUGUGGUAUUUGCAUGGUCACUAAGGAAUGGAUGAGAUAGUCAGACUUGAUGAGAUGGUGCCCAUUGAGGCUGGUCCUGCUGCCGCCCAGGAGACCUCUGGGUUCCUCUAGCUACUACGGGGCCAACAGAGCAGUCACUGUGCCAGGCGCUAGACAAAAAGUCAGACAGCUGCUUUCUGUAAGAUGAAAAAUGAGAUGGAAGAGUUCAGUGAUUAAGGCAGUGGUCAAAGAGAUUAAUGUGACCAAACAGAGACACUAAACUGACCAGACAUAAUUCACGAACUAGUAUUACUGAAGAUAACACGACAAAAUGCUCAGGCCUAGUGAGAUCUAUUUUUGAUGUACUGGCGUCUGAACAAGAAAACUGGAAUUAAUAGUCAUAUAAUUUGUUUCCCACUCCCACUCCUCUUAAAUUAUUGAGCAGAGCUCAUGGGAGAGCUCAGAGGCUCAAUGCCAAGGCCAGUGAAAACUGAUCCAUUUCAGCUUGCAUAUGACUGAGGAGAUGGAUUUUAGAGAAAGUGUGGCAAAAGCCUUGCAUUUCCUCUGAUGAAUAUUCUACAAUUGAUCUCUCAAAGAUGGCAGAUGGGAAAUAGAGCAAAACUUUUAUAAUGCAGUGGGACAGAGAGGGACACUUCCAAACCUAGCAAAUAAAAAGAGAAAACUAUAGCAAAAAGUGCACCUUUGUAAAACAAUGGACCAUGAGCUUAGCUGUAAUGAUCAAGCUUUCCCUUUCUUUCCUUCAAUCAGCAGAAAUGUUGUCAGCCAUACAGCAAACAGAUCUCACUAAUUGCAAACAAAUUUGCAUGUGAUAAACACAUUGACCAUGGAAGCAGUGGUAGGAAUAGACAGAAGAUUUUGUAUUAAUGUAAUAAUAAUGUGAGGUAAAUAUUUUAUGCCAUGUGUAAGAUAUUGCUAUAUUCCUUCUUUUGUUGUUUUUUUGCUUGUUUUGGCUGUUAAUGUUUUAAAAUUAUGUGGGAGCUAACUAUUAGCAUUAAAAGUUGUGAUUUAGAGUCAGCUAGGAACAGUGUGUGCAUAUAUUCUUUUUCUUGCCAGCUUCAGUCUCAAAACUGUAGUUUUUAUUUCUGAAGGCUGGAUACAACCUAACAUGCUUUUCCUCCACAACUUCUGGACUGAAACUGUUGCUGAGGAAACAGAUGCAUCUUUUCCUAUCUGCAUAAAUCUGAUUCAAACAAUCAUACUGGGUUUUACAUCAGCUUGGCUAAAUUGGCUCACAAUUUAAAUCAGUACAAGACACAGGAAAUGCUUCUAGGUUUUAGAAAUACAGGUUUCACACAAUGCCUGCCCAGGGCUGUGGAGCAGCUGUCUAAGCAUGGAAAGGCCAUUCUACUUCUAACUGACCAUUGUGAAUUAAAUUCAAGUAAAAACAACUUUAAAUACUGUCCAUAAUUUGCGCAAUAUUUUUCUGAAGUGGUACCAGAUUUUUACUAUAUUGUUUA